AUACGGAGGGUGCAAGCGUUGUUCGGAAUUAUUGGGCGUAAAGCGCGUGUAGGCGGUUUGAUAAGUCUGAUGUGAAAGCCCCGGGCUCAACCUGGGAAGUGCAUUGGAGACUGUCAGACUUGAAUACGGGAGAGGGUAGUGGAAUUCCUAGUGUAGGAGUGAAAUCCGUAGAUAUUAGGAGGAACACCGGUGGCGAAGGCGGCUCUCUGGACCGAUACUGACGCUGAGACGCGAAAGCGUGGGUAGC
Molecule: ribosomal RNA, 247 nt
Filed under: uncultured bacterium
Lineage: Bacteria
Description: partial 16S ribosomal RNA
Rfam family: Bacterial small subunit ribosomal RNA
Source: RNAcentral